GAACGAGGAUAUACCCUUCGGGGUAUAAACCGAGUGGCGCAAGGGUGAGUAAUGCAUAGAUUACCUGCCUCCGGGAUAAGGACAACUUUGUGAAAACGAAGCUAAUACUUAAUAAUACAAAAGAAAAUUAUUUUCUUUUGUCAAAGGGAGGGUAGCAAUACCUUUUGCCUGGAGAGGGGUUUAUGUCCUAUCAGCUUGUUGGUGGGGUAAUGGCCUACCAAGGCGAAGACGGGUAGCCGGUCUUAGAGGAUGGUCGGCCACACUGGGACUGAGACACUGCCCAGACUUCUACGGAAGGCUGCAGUCGAGAAUCUUUCGCAAUGCCCGAAAGGGUGACGAAGCGACGCCGCGUGGGUGAGGAAGGCCUUCGGGUUGUAAAGCCCUGUCAGGAGUUAAGAAAUAUAAGUGCGUUAAUACCGCAUUUAUUUGACGAAGGCUCCAAAGGAAGCCACGGCUAACUCUGUGCCAGCAGCCGCGGUAAUACAGAGGUGGCAAGCGUUGUUCGGAAUUAUUGGGCGUAAAGAGCACGUAGGUGGGUUUGUAAGUCAGAUGUGAAAGCCUUCUGUUCAACGGAAGAAUUGCAUCUGAAACUGCGAGUCUUGAGUGUAGGAGGGGAGAAUGGAACUUCUGGUGGAGCGGUGAAAUGCGUAGAUAUCAGAAGGAACGCCGGCGGCGAAAGCGAUUCUCUGGCCUAUUACUGACACUCAGUGUGCGAAAGCUAGGGGAGCAAACGGGAUUAGAUACCCCGGUAGUCCUAGCCGUAAACGAU
Molecule: ribosomal RNA, 769 nt
Filed under: uncultured Planctomycetota bacterium
Lineage: Bacteria; Pseudomonadati; Planctomycetota
Description: bacterial SSU rRNA
Rfam family: Bacterial small subunit ribosomal RNA
Source: RNAcentral